Long non-coding RNA from Acinonyx jubatus (cheetah), 1445 nucleotides. RefSeq lists it as uncharacterized. The transcript has 2 exons. Lineage: Eukaryota; Metazoa; Chordata; Mammalia; Carnivora; Felidae. The record is from RefSeq and is a predicted model, not a curated record.
AGUGGAUCCGAAGUAGGCUCCAGGCAGACAGCAGCGAGCCCGACACGGAGCUCAAACUCACGAACUCCCGGGUUCGUGACCUGAGCUGAAGUCAGAUGCACACCCGACUGAGCUACCCAGGCGCCCCACCCCGCCUUACCUAGAUGAGAGCAACACUACGAACCACCCAAAGCUCGUGGAGAAACUGGGGUGCCUAUGAGGAAGUUCCCAUCAGGAGUGGCCGCUCACCCGAUGUGGAUUUCCGUUCUCUCCUGCAAGAUGUAACAGGAGCAACGUGGAGCCUCCUUUGUAUUUAACGGGGACCCCUAGAGACCAGAGGCCCAAUGCAGGACACACCCUCCUGCAGCUCAGUUCUGGUGGAGGGACAGUUACCGAGGCAUCAAGCAGAACACGGAUCAUGGCAGAUGGCAAUAACGUGCUGGGGAGAAGGAAGGCGGGAAGGAGCCAGGGUAGGUGUGCUGGCGUUAGACCAGGUGGUAAGGAAAGGCCUCACAAAGGCCAGCAAGGGAAGCUGGUGUGGGGGGGGGGGGGGCAGUGGACACAGGAGGAAGAGGGUGAAGUCAGGGCCUGUUAUGAGCCAGAAGGGCCACCUGUGACUCACUAGCGCCCCCUCUGGCCACCGUGUGGGGAAGACUGAAAGGGCACCACCCCCUGAGAAGGGUGCUGUCGCCACCUGGCGGGAGGAGAAGGCGACAGCAGUGGGGCCAGAGGGAAGUGGCUCGUCGCCCUGCUCCUGAGACGGAGCUGACCAGGGGACAGACGCGACGCGGAGGAGGGUGUGCAGAGCAGGAGAGCUGAGAGGGGUCGUGCCGGGGAGUUCAGAGCUGGGACGGGCGGCGGCGGAGUUGGGAGAAAGCACGCAUGUGGUCUGCUCCGGCACGGGUCCCCAAGCACGGAGAAGGGAAAAUCAAGGCCCCACAGGCCGGCUUGAAUCACAUGACUGGCUCAGCCCAGAGGGCAAUACCGCCUUGCCAGAGGGCCUGCUGUUCCCCGUACAGGGAGUGGAGUAGUCUCGGAUCAGACAGACAGACGGCACCACCAUGCAGAAAACAUCCGGUUUAUUAGGAUUAGUUGUGGCGUACAUGGUUCCUUUGAUAGUUCUGAGCUGAUCACGAGUCCCCAGUAACGGUACACAGGUAGGGAUGCGGCUGAACACAGACAGUAACUGGUAAACUGCUUAGAAAAUCACGGGGACCCCAAUGGGUUAUGUUAGCGAUUUGUGAAAGAAAGAAAACGUAGCGUGGGACCUUGCCACGGGUGCGGAGCAGAGCAGGCGGGUUUUUGUGGCCUCCUUCAGUGCUCUCACUGCGAGCCCCCAUGCCCCCCAGAAGCUGGAUGGGAGGGCCAGAGACCAUCCACCCCCCUCCCUGCCAAGGAGCAGCGUCCCCCUCUUCCUGCUUACAGGUGGCAUCUCUUCCCAGAAAGACUGUCAGCCAUGAAGCCCA